This 1479-nucleotide ribosomal RNA is filed under the name uncultured bacterium. RNAcentral describes it as "bacterial SSU rRNA". It matches the Rfam family "Bacterial small subunit ribosomal RNA". The record is from RNAcentral.
AUUGAACGCUGGUGGCAUGCUUAACACAUGCAAGUCGAACGGUAACAGGAGAAGCUUGCUUCUUGCUGACGAGUGGCGGACGGGUGAGUAACGCGUAGGAAUCUGCCCAUCUGUGGGGGAUACCAGUUGGAAACGACUGUUAAUACCGCAUAAUAUCUGCGGAUUAAAGGUGGCCUUUGUGCUGCCGCAGAUGGAUGAGCCUGCGUUGGAUUAGCUUGUUGGUGGGGUAAAGGCCUACCAAGGCUACGAUCCAUAGCUGAUUUGAGAGGAUGAUCAGCCACAUUGGGACUGAGACACGGCCCAAACUCCUACGGGAGGCAGCAGUGGGGAAUAUUGGACAAUGGGCGAAAGCCUGAUCCAGCAAUGCCAUGUGUGUGAAGAAGGCUCUAGGGUUGUAAAGCACUUUAGUUGGGGAGGAAAGCUUAUAGGUUAAUAGCCUAUGAGAAGGACGUUACCCAAAGAAUAAGGACCGGCUAACUCCGUGCCAGCAGCCGCGGUAAUACGGGGGGUCCGAGCGUUAAUCGGAAUUACUGGGCGUAAAGGGUCUGUAGGUGGUUUGUUAAGUCAGAUGUGAAAGCCCAGGGCUCAACCUUGGAACUGCAUUUGAUACUGGCAAACUAGAGUAUGGUAGAGGAAUGGGGAAUUUCUGGUGUAGCGGUGAAAUGCGUAGAGAUCAGAAGGAACACCAAUGGCGAAGGCAACAUUCUGGACCGAUACUGACACUGAGGGACGAAAGCGUGGGGAUCAAACAGGAUUAGAUACCCUGGUAGUCCACGCUGUAAACGAUGAGUACUAGCUGUUGGAUUCGGUGUAAAGGAUCUAGUGGCGCAGCUAACGCGUUAAGUACUCCGCCUGGGGACUACGGCCGCAAGGCUAAAACUCAAAGGAAUUGACGGGGACCCGCACAAGCGGUGGAGCAUGUGGUUUAAUUCGAUGCAACGCGAAGAACCUUACCUGGUCUUGACAUCCUGCGAACUUUCUAGAGAUAGAUUGGUGCCUUCGGGAACGCAGUGACAGGUGCUGCACGGCUGUCGUCAGCUCGUGUUGUGAAAUGUUGGGUUAAGUCCCGCAACGAGCGCAACCCCUAUUGAUAGUUACCAUCAUUAAGUUGGGUACUCUAUUGAGACUGCCGCUGACAAGGCGGAGGAAGGUGGGGACGACGUCAAGUCAUCAUGGCCCUUACGACCAGGGCUACACACGUGCUACAAUGGGUAUUACAGAGGGCUGCGAAGGUGCGAGCUGGAGCGAAACUCAGAAAGGUACUCUUAGUCCGGAUUGCAGUCUGCAACUCGACUGCAUGAAGUCGGAAUCGCUAGUAAUCGCAGGUCAGAAUACUGCGGUGAAUACGUUCCCGGGUCUUGUACACACCGCCCGUCACACCAUGGGAGUGGGUUGCUCCAGAAGUAGAUAGCUUAACGAAUGGGCGUUUACCACGGAGUGAUUCAUGACUGGGGUGAAGUCGUAAUCAAGGUAGCCGUA